Molecule: ribosomal RNA, 200 nt
Filed under: uncultured prokaryote
Description: partial 16S ribosomal RNA
Rfam family: Bacterial small subunit ribosomal RNA
Source: RNAcentral
CGUCAAAUCAGCACGGCCCUUAUGUCCAGGGCUACACACGUGUUACAAUGGCCGGUACAGAGGGCAGCUACUUAGUGAUAAGAUGCUAAUCCCAAAAGCCGGUCCCAGUUCGGAUUGGAGUCUGCAACCCGACUCCAUGAAGUUGGAUUCGCUAGUAAUCGCGCAUCAGCCAUGGCGCGGUGAAUACGUUCCCGGGCCUU